UCCAGAAGUGGACAGGGACUUCAGAGGGAGUCAGUACUCCAAGUAGCUAUAGGCCAAGGGCUGGGACAACCUUGGGGACUUCAUGUGACUUUGGACAUCACCUAACCUUGAACUUCGGGAUCCCUAAUCACCUUUCCCUAGUGAGGUAAUCAUGGGUUUCUCUUCUGUCCUCUCACUAGGUCGUGAUAAGAAUUAUCAGAGAUAAAGAAAGGUUGCUGAACACACAUAGUAUGCUGACAACUGGCCACAUGUCAUCUUCACAGCAUUGCAAAGAAGGGGCCAUUUUUCUUGCAGUUAUGGAGCCCUCUGGUGAAAAGGCAGAAGCCCCUUGCCCUGAGCCUAGGGAAGGCUGAGGGCUAGAAAGAAAAAGACCUUCUUCCCAUGAUCCUCUUCUGGAGAGACAAAGACACACCCAUGAGGACUCUGGAAGGUGACAGCCAAGCUGUGCAGAAACAAAGGCUGCUUUUCCUCUUCAUCACUGCUAGGCUGAAUGUUGGAGCCUGGAGCAGCUGAGUUUGGGCGUCUGUGGUCAAGUCCUUGUCUGAUUCAUCUCUGUGUGCCUGCAGGAACUGCCCAGAGGAUGGGCCAGGUGAAGGAGUCACCUUAGAAGAUAAGGCCUCCCUUGAUGAGGUUUAAAUCAAACCGACUCUGGCCUGAAAAAAAUGCCACCUGCCCCACUGCCUGCUGACCUUGGAAUGGCUUCCUUCUAGAGAUUCGGAUUGCAAAAUCCAGAAUUUAUGCAAUUGAGUUCAACCUUUUUCCUUGGACUAGGGAGAGGACUUUUGCCCCCCUGGCCUAGGUACCUGCUUGCUUUAUCUACUGGUCCUUCCAAGGAGGGCUUUCUCAGAGUGUAUGCCCAGGGUAGACCCUGUCUUCUAAAUUGAAUGAAAUGUAUCCACUCCCAGAAGGUGUGUCUACUUAAUCCAAGCAGAACUAUGCUGGAGUAUGGUCAGAAAAUCUGUCAGCUCACAGACACAGACAGACAGACAGACAGACGGUGGGGGGCACACGUAUGUGGGAGCAGCAAGCUUCCUUAGUCUUAUUUUGAAAUAAAAACAUGCCGUUCCUUCUCAUAAUUAAUGUA
This is a long non-coding RNA of Mus musculus (house mouse), 1084 nucleotides long. RefSeq annotates it as predicted gene, 35941. The record is from RefSeq and is a predicted model, not a curated record. The transcript is spliced from 3 exons. Lineage: Eukaryota; Metazoa; Chordata; Mammalia; Rodentia; Muridae.